UACGAAGGGGGCUAGCGUUGUUCGGAUUUACUGGGCGUAAAGCGCACGUAGGCGGUUUUUUAAGUCAGAGGUGAAAGCCCGGAGCUCAACUCCGGAAUUGCCUUUGAGACUGGGAGACUUGAAUCCAGGAGAGGUGAGUGGAAUUCCGAGUGUAGAGGUGAAAUUCGUAGAUAUUCGGAAGAACACCAGUGGCGAAGGCGGCUCACUGGACUGGUAUUGACGCUGAGGUGCGAAAGCGUGGGGAGCAAACAGG
RNAcentral lists this ribosomal RNA (253 nucleotides) under uncultured bacterium. RNAcentral describes it as "partial 16S ribosomal RNA". It matches the Rfam family "Bacterial small subunit ribosomal RNA", at positions 524 to 776 of the family's 1533-position model. The record is from RNAcentral.